Molecule: ribosomal RNA, 444 nt
Filed under: uncultured bacterium
Lineage: Bacteria
Description: bacterial SSU rRNA
Rfam family: Bacterial small subunit ribosomal RNA
Source: RNAcentral
GUGGGGAAUAUUGCGCAAUGGGCGAAAGCCUGACGCAGCGACGCCGCGUGGGGGAUGACGGCCUUCGGGUUGUAAACCUCUUUUACCACUCACGCAGGCCGGGGGUUUUCUCCCGGUUGACGGUAGGUGGGGAAUAAGGACCGGCUAACUACGUGCCAGCAGCCGCGGUAAUACGUAGGGUCCGAGCGUUGUCCGGAAUUAUUGGGCGUAAAGAGCUCGUAGGCGGCGUGUCGCGUCUGCUGUGAAAGACCGGGGCUUAACUCCGGUUUUGCAGUGGAUACGGGCAUGCUAGAGGUAGGUAGGGGAGACUGGAAUUCCUGGUGUAGCGGUGAAAUGCGCAGAUAUCAGGAGGAACACCGGUGGCGAAGGCGGGUCUCUGGGCCUUACCUGACGCUGAGGAGCGAAAGCGUGGGGAGCGAACAGGAUUAGAUACCCGUGUAGUCC